RNAcentral lists this ribosomal RNA (809 nucleotides) under Shigella sonnei. Its description in RNAcentral is "partial 23S ribosomal RNA". It matches the Rfam family "Bacterial large subunit ribosomal RNA", at positions 377 to 1190 of the family's 2925-position model. Lineage: Bacteria; Pseudomonadati; Pseudomonadota; Gammaproteobacteria; Enterobacterales; Enterobacteriaceae. The record is from RNAcentral.
ACACAAAAAUGCACAUAUUGUGAGCUCGAUGAGUAGGGCGGGACACGUGGUAUCCUGUCUGAAUAUGGGGGGCCCAUCCUCCAAGGCUAAAUACUCCUGACUGACCGAUAGUGAACCAGUACCGUGAGGGAAAGGCGAAAAGAACCCCGGCGAGGGGAGUGAAAAAGAACCUGAAACCGUGUACGUACAAGCAGUGGGAGCACGCUUAGGCGUGUGACUGCGUACCUUUUGUAUAAUGGGUCAGCGACUUAUAUUCUGUAGCAAGGUUAACCGAAUAGGGGAGCCGAAGGGAAACCGAGUCUUAACUGGGCGUUAAGUUGCAGGGUAUAGACCCGAAACCCGGUGAUCUAGCCAUGGGCAGGUUGAAGGUUGGGUAACACUAACUGGAGGACCGAACCGACUAAUGUUGAAAAAUUAGCGGAUGACUUGUGGCUGGGGGUGAAAGGCCAAUCAAACCGGGAGAUAGCUGGUUCUCCCCGAAAGCUAUUUAGGUAGCGCCUCGUGAAUUCAUCUCCGGGGGUAGAGCACUGUUUCGGCAAGGGGGUCAUCCCGACUUACCAACCCGAUGCAAACUGCGAAUACCGGAGAAUGUUAUCACGGGAGACACACGGCGGGUGCUAACGUCCGUCGUGAAGAGGGAAACAACCCAGACCGCCAGCUAAGGUCCCAAAGUCAUGGUUAAGUGGGAAACGAUGUGGGAAGGCCCAGACAGCCAGGAUGUUGGCUUAGAAGCAGCCAUCAUUUAAAGAAAGCGUAAUAGCUCACUGGUCGAGUCGGCCUGCGCGGAAGAUGUAACGGGGCUAAACCAU